GAUGAACGCUGGCGGCGUGCCUAAUACAUGCAAGUCGAGCGAACGGACGAGAAGCUUGCUUCUCUGAUGUUAGCGGCGGACGGGUGAGUAACACGUGGAUAACCUACCUAUAAGACUGGGAUAACUUCGGGAAACCGGAGCUAAUACCGGAUAAUAUUUUGAACCGCAUGGUUCAAAAGUGAAAGACGGUCUUGCUGUCACUUAUAGAUGGAUCCGCGCUGCAUUAGCUAGUUGGUAAGGUAACGGCUUACCAAGGCAACGGUGCAUAGCCGACCUGAGAGGGUCAACCGCCACACUGGAACUGAGACACGGUCCAGACUCCUACGGGAGGCAGCAGUAGGGAAUCUUCCGCGAUGGGCGAAAGCCUGACGGAGCAACGCCGCGUGAGUGAUGAAGGUCUUCGGAUCGUAAAACUCUGUUAUUAGGGAAGAACAUAUGUGUAAGUAACUGUGCACAUCUUGACGGUACCUAAUCAGAAAGCCACGGCUAACUACGUG
This 497-nucleotide ribosomal RNA is filed under the name uncultured bacterium. RNAcentral's name for it is "partial 16S ribosomal RNA". It matches the Rfam family "Bacterial small subunit ribosomal RNA", at positions 28 to 507 of the family's 1533-position model. The record is from RNAcentral.